Non-coding RNA from Strongylocentrotus purpuratus (purple sea urchin), 245 nucleotides. Lineage: Eukaryota; Metazoa; Echinodermata; Echinoidea; Camarodonta; Strongylocentrotidae. The record is from Rfam.
CCAAUGUUGACACCCAAGUCCUCCACUUGGUCCUGUCACAGUGGCUUGAAGGAGCUGAGUCCUUGCGACACUUACUAUGAUGUAUGGUCCUCCGCCACGACAUUGGAGAGCAACCUGGUCCCCUUUUGUCACUUCUCCGCAAGGAGCAGUAACAUCUGGUGUGGACCUGUCCUUGCAUAUUCCUUGUAUUUCCCAGAGUCACUCUGUGACAAUUACUGGGGAGUUAAACCAUGCAAGGGACAUUU